UCUUCGUCAUCAUACAAACUACAACGCGUGUGUUUUCGCCCACCGGUAUGGUGUGGGUGCCCGCUAGCUGCUGCAAACUUAUUGAAAUGUGAUCGGGAAAUCCAGUCACAAAGGCCAACCUCACAACACUCUCCAUUGCCUCACCGGAAAUCCCUGAUAAAGCUACCAAUCUCCUAAUCUCACUCGCAUAGUCGUCGACCUGUUCUCCGGUCCACCUCACGCUUCCGAGCUUACUAUACGCCUUAAAUGCUCCCUCCGU
Molecule: long non-coding RNA, 259 nt
Organism: Octopus sinensis (East Asian common octopus)
Lineage: Eukaryota; Metazoa; Mollusca; Cephalopoda; Octopoda; Octopodidae
Exons: 3
Source: RefSeq, a predicted model, not a curated record